CCCCGCCCUCCACACUCUCCUUCAAACACAUUAACACGACAAUGAAAGUAUUCUGGCAAGUUUGGGUUUGUGGAUGUGUCAUGGGUUGAUAAAUUUGCUGAGAAUUCAUUCUGAAUAUUUGCAGAUACAUAAAACUCCAGGUGUAACUCCAAGCAAAACAUGAUGAAAGAGGGAAUUUGGAUAAACCAUGGAAUGAUGACAUCACAUUGAGCACCAUCUGGUAUAAACAUUUUUGCUUUCUGCAGUGACCAGAUGAAGGAAAUAUGGUGCCGUGUGCUUCUUCAGUGAUUAAUUCAGGAAAGCCUUUGCUGAGCUGAAAUCCAAAAUAGGAAGAACCCACCUUCCACAUGUUCAAGAAGCUUGUGAUCCCAGGGAUGACACUGCCCUUUUCCUCUGAAGGAAAGAAGUUUCCCCUGACCAUAAUGCCAAAGCUACAAACACUUACAUACCUCCAUAAUUUUGCACUGAACUCUGCUCACAUAGUACACAAUAAUUUCUGCACUACUUUGUUCCUGUUCCAAAUUCUAGUGGCUUGAAAUCCAAAAUAGAGGAAGUUAAAUCAUAGCAGUUGUACACUUUAGAGAAACUUUGAAUUUGGCUACUAGAGAUUUUCUAAGGUAUUGCUUUUCUUAAUUUAUAUGAAAACUAUUGAGCUAGGUUCUAGAUUAAGUGCUGGUGAUUCAGACAUGAGUAAGUCAUGAUGCCACCUCUGGAGUGUUUCAGGGAAGACAGUUACAUAAAAACUAAGCUGUAAUAGAAUUUAAUAAGUCCUUUAAUAGAGGUGCAGAGUUCUGUGGGAACGUAGAAGGAAGAAUAAUUGCUUCUUCAGUUUCAAGGAGGACUUCACAGGGCAGAAGGCAUUUGGGCAAGUCUUGAAGGAUAAGCCAGGACUCCCCAAGUGGGGUGAGGGCACUUGAGGUGGAGAACAGAUGAAUAAAAGCAGCAAAUGAAUAAAAGCAUCAAAGUGCAGUGUUGGUUGUUACUUCUUUUUAUUCCAGAUGAGACAAGCCAGGAAUCAGGGCAUACAGGGAUCUG
This 1035-nucleotide long non-coding RNA is filed under the name Homo sapiens (human). Its description in RNAcentral is "PREDICTED lncRNA (TCONS_00247079)". Lineage: Eukaryota; Metazoa; Chordata; Mammalia; Primates; Hominidae. The record is from RNAcentral.